Vespa velutina is the source of this 1006-nucleotide long non-coding RNA. RefSeq lists it as uncharacterized. The transcript has 3 exons. The record is from RefSeq and is a predicted model, not a curated record. NCBI's taxonomy places the organism in Eukaryota, Metazoa, Arthropoda, Insecta, Hymenoptera, Vespidae.
UUAGCUUUCCUCCACGUUCUUUCUCGAAUUCCGUUUCCGUAUCGUGAAUACGUAGCGACUCGAGCUCGUCGUGCCUCUUCAUAGCUCAUUUGAUCUCUCGCGUUUCGCAUCUGCGAGUUUGAAAGAGAGAGAGAGAGAGAGAGAGAGAGAACCGUGAAGUUGGAAAUAGUCAUCACUCUAGCUGCAAUACUUCUUUCGAAUACAACGAAACCAAUGUGACUGAUUACGAACCUGUAAUCGCAGAAGCUUCUACACAGAGGUACGUGAUGUGUGCGUGAUACCUGUUACGAACAAAAAAGAGAUAGCAAAGGAAAGGGACUGGGGUGAUAAAACAGAGACACACGUAUGUACACAUAAAAACGUCACGAGUGAAAGCACGAGUAAAUUUAUAUCAGCACCAAUACGCCAAAUCGAAGAGUUUACACGAUUGGAAUGUCGUCACUUCGAACGAAGGAGGAAGGAAAGUAAUAAAGUAAAGGAGAAGAAGAGAGAAACGAGCCGAGCUCGACUGCACACCCCAAUCAGUCCCGUGUCCCAUGGUCAUGGUGCUGUGGUAUCAUCGGACGUAUGUAUCCGGCUGGUGGUGCGUGUGCGUGGGUGGGAAAGAGCGGCAGGGCGCCGGCACGCGGCUCGUGUUUCCUGCCUCUGCAAAAAUUGUCAUUGCGCGAGGGCUAACCCUGUACGCAGAAUGAGCCUGAGAGAGAGAUAGAUCGCAUCGUGCCGAUAGCAACCAGGGAGGAUGGACCUGCCUCGCCAAAAAUACCACCCCUUCUCUGCGAUUAUCUCCACCCUCUCCCUCUCGUCUCCUCUUUCCUUUCCUCUCCUCUACACUACUCGCUAUAUGUCUAUAUGUCCACGCGAGAGAAUGUGUCUAUACUCUUCUCAUCAAACUAAUACGAUCUGAAAUUCCUAUUAAUUAAUUCUUAAAUUCUAAUUUUCAUCUAUAAUACAGAUCAAAGUUAUUAUUUUGUAAAAGACAAGAUUUAAAUCAAAUAUCAAUAUUGAA